RNAcentral lists this ribosomal RNA (500 nucleotides) under Haemophilus haemolyticus. Its description in RNAcentral is "bacterial SSU rRNA". It matches the Rfam family "Bacterial small subunit ribosomal RNA", at positions 1033 to 1533 of the family's 1533-position model. Lineage: Bacteria; Pseudomonadati; Pseudomonadota; Gammaproteobacteria; Pasteurellales; Pasteurellaceae. The record is from RNAcentral.
UACAGGUGGUGCAUGGUUGUCGUCAGCUCGUGUCGUGAGAUGUUGGGUUAAGUCCCAUAACGAGCGCAACCCCUAUCGUUAGUUACCAUCAUUAAGUUGGGGACUCUAGCGAUACUGCCGGUGAUAAACCGGAGGAAGGUGGGGACGACGUCAAAUCAUCAUGCCCUUUAUGACUUGGGCUACACACGUGCUACAAUGGCAGAUACAGAGGGCAGCGAAAGAGCGAUCUGAAGCGAAACUCACAAAGUCUGUCCCAGUUCGGAUUGUACUCUGCAACUCGAGUACAUGAAGUUGGAGUUGCUAGUAAUCGCGAAUCAGAAUGUCGCGGUGAAUGCGUUCCCGGGUCUUGUACACACCGCCCGUCACACCAUGGGAGUUGGCAAUACCCGAAGCCUGUGAGCGAACCUUUUAGGACGCAGCAGUCGAAGGUAGGGUCAGUAACUGGGGUGAAGUCGUAACAAGGUAGCCGUAUCGGAAGGUGCGGCUGGAUCACCUCCUUU